AAUAAAUAAAUAGAAGAAAAAGUAACAAAAGUUAUCGAUAGAAAUUUAAUUUGAAGUUUCUAAAUCUAAAAAAAUGAAGAAAAAAUUAAAAAAUGAAAACUUUUAUAAAAUAAUGUCAAAUAUGAAUAUGAAUGAAUAUGAAUAUCGAUCAAUAAGAAUUCCAACAUUAUCUUGAAUAAAAAUAAAAAAUCCAAAUCCAAAUUCGAAAAAGAUUUCAAUUCAAAAAUCAAAAUGUAUAUCCGAAUCUUACGGUAGAAUUCUAAUUCACAUCUGACAAUUUUCGUAUUGAUAGUUGGGUUGGUAGUAUCCGAUCGAUCUAUCCGCUAAACUCUUUUAUUUAGGCUCGGCUACUAUAUAUUGAUAGUACAAAGCAUUUGGUAUUAUCGAAUUUGCUGCCAUUAAAUUUAUCUCUUUUAUAAUUUUUAUCCGUUCAAUUAACCACCAACUCAACCCAAGGGAACCCAUAUCAUUCUAACCGCACAUCUUUUAAUCCAACGAUAGAAAACCUAAUAGCACCAAGUCAUUAGUGCUAUUAAUAGUAUUCCAGCCUAGUUCUCUCUCUCUCUCUCUCUAUAUAUAUAUAUAGAGUCCGGCUACUAUACUCUUAUGAGUACGAUCGCCCUCGUGUUCUCAUAAGUUGUUUUCGAUGAUAGAGCUUCCGAAUCGACGAUCCACACCGUUAAAUAUUAUCUAGUGUAUUUAAAACUUCUAGAAAUCAAAUUUCAUAAUUUUUCGACAUCAUUUACCUUACGAUCAAAAGCUCACAAAACUGACAAUUUUUAACGGCCGGUAUGA
Molecule: long non-coding RNA, 795 nt
Filed under: Ananas comosus (pineapple)
Lineage: Eukaryota; Viridiplantae; Streptophyta; Magnoliopsida; Poales; Bromeliaceae
Description: long non-coding RNA (ACOM_LNC014017)
Source: RNAcentral